Molecule: ribosomal RNA, 253 nt
Filed under: uncultured bacterium
Lineage: Bacteria
Description: partial 16S ribosomal RNA
Rfam family: Bacterial small subunit ribosomal RNA
Source: RNAcentral
UACGUAGGGGGCUAGCGUUGUCCGGAAUCAUUGGGCGUAAAGCGCGCGUAGGCGGCCCGGUAAGUCCGUUGUGAAAGUCAAAGGCUCAACCUCUGAAAGCCGAUGGAUACUGCCGGGCUGGAGUCCGGAAGAGGCGAGUGGAAUUCCUGGUGUAGCGGUGGAAUGCGCAGAUAUCAGGAGGAACACCAAUAGCGAAGGCAGCUCGCUGGGACGGUACUGACGCUGAGGCGCGAAAGCGUGGGGAGCGAACAGG